Molecule: ribosomal RNA, 538 nt
Filed under: uncultured bacterium
Lineage: Bacteria
Description: bacterial SSU rRNA
Rfam family: Bacterial small subunit ribosomal RNA
Source: RNAcentral
ACGGAAUAGAUACCCGGGUAGUCCACGCCCUAAACGAUGUCUACUAGUUGUCGGGUCUUAAUUGACUUGGUAAACGCAGCUAAACGCGUGAAAGUAGACCGCCUGGGGAGUACGGUCGCAAGAUUAAAACUCAAAGGAAUUGACGGGGACCCGCACAAGCGGUGGAUGAUGUGGAUUAAUUCGAUGCAACGCGAAAAACCUUACCUACCCUCGACAUGGAUGGAAUCCCUGAGAGAUUGGGGAGUGCUCGAAAGAGAACCAUUACACAGGUGCUGCAUGGCUGUCGUCAGCUCGUGUCGUGAGAUGUUGGGUUAAGUCCCGCAACGAGCGCAACCCUUGUCAUUAGUUGCUACGAAAGGGCACUCUAAUGAGACUGCCGGUGACAAACCGGAGGAAGGUGGGGAUGACGUCAAGUCCUCAUGGCCCUUAUGGGUAGGGCUUCACACGUCAUACAAUGGUACAUACAGAGGGCCGCCAACCCGCGAGGGGAGCUAAUCCCAGAAAGUGUAUCGUAGUCCGGAUUGUAGUCUGCAACUCG